Long non-coding RNA from Ictalurus furcatus (blue catfish), 3921 nucleotides. RefSeq lists it as uncharacterized. The transcript has 4 exons. Lineage: Eukaryota; Metazoa; Chordata; Actinopteri; Siluriformes; Ictaluridae. The record is from RefSeq and is a predicted model, not a curated record.
AGUACAGAACACCAGAGAGGCUUGUUGCGACUGAGGGGAAGAGCUGGGGUAAUGAAAAAAGGCGGGCGGUUAGAUUGAAACCGAGAGUGACAGAGACACACUGGGUAUUUUAUUUGGAAUUAAUUUGAUUAAUUCCCAAGUUACAGCCUGUUUAGCAUGAAAUUCCCUCUUUUUGUUUCACUGGUGGAUCCAGGGGUGGAGCCAUAGGGGCACUGAAAUCUGAUUGGCCCCUGAAGUGGCCCUGUCCUGUCACUCAUAGCUGAUCUGCGUCAGAGCACUCCGGGAGUCUCCUGCAUAUUGACAGCAGCUCCCUGACGCCCGCAAAUUAUAUACACUAUUCUGGAAAUCGAUUUUUUUUUUAGAUUGAGCGAGAAAGACCAGAAAAUGAUGAUUUAUGAUAGACGGGCUCCGGAGAAACCUAGAGAGCGAGUGACAGAGCGCGUAUCCUGAUUGGUGUUUUAUUUCUGCUACCUAGACCAAUCUGUUUUCUCUGUGGGCGGGCUUUACAGUCGACCUCUCACAGUUCAGUGUACCAAAAAAGAAAAUACAAACGUACGUCACCCCAGAAUAGACUAAAGUGUACCCCUCCCUGAUAGGAGUCAAAAAUAAUGACAGUUUUGCUCGCUGAAGUGACUUUUCGAUUUAGGUUGGUAGUGUGUGCAGUUAGGUGGGCGCUGGUGAGAUGAGAUUUCCGUGGGCAAGGGGGAACCUUCUUGGGGAGUGCUGGUGGUUGGGUAAAUUGAGGGUUUAGGGGGGUGGCGGAUUGGCUCAUGAUGGGGUGCAGCUUGGGGGGUGCUGGUGGUUGAUGAGAUGGGGUUUUUGUUGGGUUUGCGGUGGUGGUGGAGCUACAUCCCUGAAUUGAGUUUUUGCAGGGUAGAAUGUCUGCUACCUCAUCUCACAAUGUCCACUUAAGCUUCAAUGAGGUAGAAAACAUGAAGAUAAAGGAUGAAAAAGGCAUUCUGUGGUUUCUGAACAAAAAGAAGCCCAGGUUGCCUGUCACUGACAAUGACAGCAGUCAGUGUGAGAAGAGGGAGAGAAUGAGGGAGGGUCAAGUGCAGCUCCCAGCCCUUUUCACCAGAUUAGCAAAAUUUUGGCACAGCAAGAUAAGGACAACAGGUUCAGAUGAAGACAGCCAGAGUGUUAGUGAAGGGGGUCAUGAUCCACCAUCUUCAGAACCAGAGUCACCAAGCAGUUCUUCUGGCCCAGUAGGACCUGAUGACAUUUCCCAGUGAAGAGCAGUUGGUUCUGUCCAGACAUCAAAGAAGUAUUCUGCUCCCCUAGGACAAGCUUUGACUGUAAAAGUUUACUCCAAAUCCAGAAAGGGCUUGAACUUUAAGGAACAUUUAAGAAGGUAUACUGUGUCAAAAUGCUAGAGCCAGCAGGAAAGAGAUAAAAUGUAUGUAAAAUUUAUUAAGUCAAUAAUUAGACAUGAUUUUUAAGUCAGUAAUUAGAUUUACAUUAUACUUGGCCCCUCUCUGUAAAGUGUGGCCGCACCAAGGCCCCUGCUUCUAAAAAAAUACUAGAUCUGACAGUGUUUUGUUUUCAUGGAUUGAAAUCCCUCAAGGAUCUGUGGUGGAGUGGUGUGUAGGUCUUUUAAUGUUAUCUGGCUUUUGCUACUCAAGAUAUGCUUAGAGAAAAUUUUUGAGUGUUUUUAUUGUACAUAUAAUAACAUGACCCUGGACAAGGGGUCGGGAACCUUUUUUCACCAAAGAGCCAUUUUUUCAUUUUUGGUUAAUGCAUUUUUUUCAAAAGAGCAAUUGCAAACAUUGCAAAUUUUACAAUUAAUAAAAACACGUUUAAUCAAUAGCAUUUCAAUAACAAUAACUUUAUUCAGGUCCAUAGAUACCAUAAAAACAUACAAAUUGUUCCAUAAAAACAAACAAAUAUGCAACAAACAGUAGGUAACAUGUUGCAAUGUGGAAUUAAUUAUGCAGGGCUUUCACUUUGAUGUUGAGUUUCCACCUGAGCAGCAUAAAACAUAUUCUGUGUGUGUGUCUGUAGACUCAUCCAGGGCAAGAGGAAAAGAAUCUGCCGAAGUUAUAUCCUGGCUGUUUUCCCUCUGUCUCACAUGCCAUCAUGUCAUGCACUGUUUGGGCUGACAGGGGCACGUAUUAUAUUUUCUGCAUGACUUUCUGCUUGUUCGGGAAAUCCGCAAACAGUUCAGUUGCCGUACUCGACAUGCAUGACUUUACAUAUCCUCCGUCAGUAAAAGUUUUCCUUGUCUUAUAAUCUCCAAUGAGCCAGCAACACUUGCAGCAUCCAGGCUUCCAGUUGCCCUUGUCCGGAUUGCCGUUUAUGUUGGAGCUUCGUGCACGCCUUCUUUCGGCUUUUGCCCACCGGGUACUUUGCUGCAAAAGCAAAAUGUCUCUUAACCCUCUUACCUCUAAGUUCCCACAGUAUUAUGUCCCACAACCCUAUAUUCCCCAUAGAAACAGCACGCCAACCCUGAGUUCCUGGACCAAAAUUGGCCCCAAAAUCAACAUUUUAAUUUUAACAGUUUUAGGCCUUGAAAUAACUGAUAAUAAUUUAUUUGUGUAAUAUUACUUUGAAAAUGAAGCAAUUCAGUGUUUUUACUAAACUCAGAGCACAAUUCUUAACUAGAGAAAUUACGAAAAAUGCUCGCUAAAAUCCUUAUACUCCUUUAGAAGUACCAUACGAGCAUCAGCGUGGUCAAUGCUUUGAAUAAAUUCAAGUAAAUAAUAAAUAAAUAAAUAAAUGCAUUUUAGCGCCAAAAGUCAACUUUCUGGUGAUAAUCAGACCAGCAGGUAGUGUUUUCACGAAUGCACAGAAAUGGUCACAUUAUGACUCCAAACCCCUGCAGUGUCAGUCGCACUGGUUGAUGCUGAAGAUGAAGACGAAUCAGGGUCUGAAUCAGGAGAGUUUGCGUCACUAUCAGUUUCGGUUUCGGUUUCAACAUCGCCUGAACUUUCACUGCUGUCACUAUCUAGAAUCCUUGCUCUCGCCUGUGUAACUGUGUAUGUUUUCUUUUUUUCACUGUUUUAGAUGUACCUGUGUUCACUGUAGGUGUAAAUUUAGCUGGAACACGAUUAGCUUUUCGCUUUGGCAUUUUUAGUUAACUUCUACUAUUACACCAAUAUUCACGCUUGGAUCAUCUUCAUCGUAAUGACGGCGUAAUAACAUAAUCACGUCGUGACGUCAUGACAUCAUCAACCUUCCAGGUCAAAAAAUAAUAAUUAAAUAAGUAAGGAAUCAUAGCAGAGUAAUGCCGGUAUACCGGCCUUACGGGGAUAACAUUUACACUGUAAAGCCGCUAUAUCAGCCUUACGGGGAUUUGGCAUAGACGACCAAGCCAGUAUAUCGUCCUUACGGGAACAGAUCAAAGACGGGCAAGCCGGUUUUUCGGCCAUACGGGGUAAGAGGGUUAACAGUUCCUUUUUUUUAAAUGAGGCAAUACAUUCUGUGCAAAUCAGACACAGCAGAGCACCAGAGCUUUCAAUAAAAGCACAUGUUUCCGUCCAAUCACUUUGAAAUUUUCUAUGCUCCUCUGAAUUCUUUCUUUUCACCAUCUCCACAAACUAGCUAGGUAGUUGCUUGAAUCUGAGUGCGAGAGAUUAUCAUAGAAACAUAAGUGGUUUGCCAUUAAUUGGUGUCGUGUCACAUGCACAAAGUACUGCAUACUGUAUGUGCACUGGCUCGAACAACUUGAAAUAUAUUGCUGUAAACUGACUUUUCAUUAACUUCUGAAGGCUGCACAACAAAGGAAUUGUAAUUCACUUUGCAUUUUUUUUUGCAGGAAACUGAUCUCUGGUGAUGUGUCUAAGUUUUUAACAAACAUAUGUUAGUGAAGGGUGAGACACCUGGCAAGCCACAUGAUUUUUGUCAAAGAGCCACAGGUUCCCGACCACCGCCCUGGACGGUCUGGCAGCUAUCUGACAUGUGUCAAUAAAUGUUUUAUUGGUA